CAGUCGCCGCGGUAACACGUAGGUGGCAAGCGUUGUCCGGAAUUAUUGGGCGUAAAGGGCUCGCAGGUGGUUUCUUAAGUCUGAUGUGAAAGCCCCCGGCUCAACCGGGGAGGGUCAUUGGAAACUGGGAAACUUGAGUGCAGAAGAGGAGAGUGGAAUUCCACGUGUAGCGGUGAAAUGCGUAGAGAUGUGGAGGAACACCAGUGGCGAAGGCGACUCUCUGGUCUGUAACUGACGCUGAGGAGCGAAAGCGUGGGGAGCGAACAGGAUUAGAUACCCCAGUAGUCCCUGUCUCUUAUAC
This 301-nucleotide ribosomal RNA is filed under the name uncultured bacterium. Its description in RNAcentral is "partial 16S ribosomal RNA". It matches the Rfam family "Bacterial small subunit ribosomal RNA", at positions 509 to 807 of the family's 1533-position model. The record is from RNAcentral.